This 462-nucleotide ribosomal RNA is filed under the name uncultured Auriculariaceae. RNAcentral describes it as "SSU rRNA". It matches the Rfam family "Eukaryotic small subunit ribosomal RNA", at positions 623 to 1089 of the family's 1831-position model. The record is from RNAcentral. Lineage: Eukaryota; Fungi; Basidiomycota; Agaricomycetes; Auriculariales; Auriculariaceae.
AAAGCUCGUAGUUGAACUUCAGACCUGGCUGGGCGGUCAGCUUAUCGGCUUGUACUGUCUGGCUGGGCCUUACUUCUUGGUGAGCCGGUGUGCCCUUUAUUGGGUGCGCUGGUGAACCAGGACCUUUACCUUGAGAAAAUUAGAGUGUUCAAAGCAGGCCUAUGCCCGAAUACAUUAGCAUGGAAUAAUAAAAUAGGACGUGCGGUUCUAUUUUGUUGGUUUCUAGAGUCGCCGUAAUGAUUAAUAGGGAUAGUUGGGGGCAUUGGUAUUGAGUCGCUAGAGGUGAAAUUCUUGGAUUGACUCAAGACCAACUAUUGCGAAAGCAUUUGCCAAGGAUGUUUUCAUUAAUCAAGAACGAAGGUUAGGGGAUCGAAAACGAUUAGAUACCGUUGUAGUCUUAACAGUAAACUAUGCCGACUAGGGAUCGGAUGACCUCAAUUAUUAUGUGUCAUUCGGCACCUU